RNAcentral lists this ribosomal RNA (429 nucleotides) under Gemmatimonadota bacterium. RNAcentral's name for it is "Gemmatimonadetes bacterium partial 16S ribosomal RNA". It matches the Rfam family "Bacterial small subunit ribosomal RNA", at positions 355 to 776 of the family's 1533-position model. The record is from RNAcentral. Lineage: Bacteria; Pseudomonadati; Gemmatimonadota.
UAGGGAAUCUUCGGCAAUGGACGAAAGUCUGACCGAGCAACGCCGCGUGAGUGAAGAAGGUUUUCGGAUCGUAAAACUCUGUUGUUAGAGAAGAACAAGGACGUUAGUAACUGAACGUCCCCUGACGGUAUCUAACCAGAAAGCCACGGCUAACUACGUGCCAGCAGCCGCGGUAAUACGCAGGUGGCAAGCGUUGUCCGGAUUUAUUGGGCGUAAAGCGAGCGCCGGCGGUUUCUUAAGUCUGAUGUGAAAGCCCCCGGCUCAACCGGGGAGGGUCAUUGGAAACUGGGAGACUUGAGUGCAGAAGAGGAGAGUGGAAUUCCAUGUGUAGCGGUGAAAUGCGUAGAUAUAUGGAGGAACACCAGUGGCGAAGGCGGCUCUCUGGUCUGUAACUGACGCUGAGGCUCGAAAGCGUGGGGAGCAAACAGG